UACGGGAGGCAGCAGUGGGGAAUAUUGGGCAAUGGGCGAAAGCCUGACCCAGCAACGCCGCGUGAGUGAAGAAGGUCUUCGGAUUGUAAACUUCUUUUAUGAGGGACGAAGGACGUGACGGUACCUCAUGAAUAAGCCACGGCUAACUACGUGCCAGCAGCCGCGGUAAU
Molecule: ribosomal RNA, 170 nt
Filed under: uncultured rumen bacterium
Lineage: Bacteria
Description: partial 16S ribosomal RNA
Rfam family: Bacterial small subunit ribosomal RNA
Source: RNAcentral